RNAcentral lists this ribosomal RNA (486 nucleotides) under uncultured bacterium. RNAcentral describes it as "partial 16S ribosomal RNA". It matches the Rfam family "Bacterial small subunit ribosomal RNA", at positions 30 to 507 of the family's 1533-position model. The record is from RNAcentral.
AUUGAACGCUGGCGACAUGCCUUACACAUGCAAGUCGAACGGCAGCACGGGUGCUUGCACCUGGUGGCGAGUGGCGAACGGGUGAGUAAUACAUCGGAACAUGUCCUGUAGUGGGGGAUAGCCCGGCGAAAGCCGGAUUAAUACCGCAUACGAUCUACGGAUGAAAGCGGGGGACCUUCGGGCCUCGCGCUAUAGGGUUGGCCGAUGGCUGAUUAGCUAGUUGGUGGGGUAAAGGCCUACCAAGGCGACGAUCAGUAGCUGGUCUGAGAGGACGACCAGCCACACUGGGACUGAGACACGGCCCAGACUCCUACGGGAGGCAGCAGUGGGGAAUUUUGGACAAUGGGCGAAAGCCUGAUCCAGCAAUGCCGCGUGUGUGAAGAAGGCCUUCUGGUUGUAAAGCACUUUUGUCCGGAGAGAAAUCCUUGGCCCUAAUACGGUCGGGGGAUGACGGUACCGGAAGAAUAAGCACCGGCUAACUACGUG